GACGAACGCUGGCGGCGUGCCUAAUACAUGCAAGUAGAACGCUGAAGAGAGGAGCUUACUCUUCUUGGAUGAGUUGCGAACGGGUGAGUAACGCGUAGGUAACCUGCCUUGUAGCGGGGGAUAACUAUUGGAAACGAUAGCUAAUACCGCAUAACAAUGGAUGACACAUGUCAUUUAUUUGAAAGGGGCAAUUGCUCCACUACAAGAUGGACCUGCGUUGUAUUAGCUAGUAGGUGAGGUAAUGGCUCACCUAGGCGACGAUACAUAGCCGACCUGAGAGGGUGAUCGGCCACACUGGGACUGAGACACGGCCCAGACUCCUACGGGAGGCAGCAGUAGGGAAUCUUCGGCAAUGGGGGCAACCCUGACCGAGCAACGCCGCGUGAGUGAAGAAGGUUUUCGGAUCGUAAAGCUCUGUUGUAAGUCAAGAACGGGUGUGAGAGUGGAAAGUUCACACUGUGACGGUAGCUUACCAGAAAGGGACGGCUAACUACG
Molecule: ribosomal RNA, 495 nt
Filed under: uncultured bacterium
Lineage: Bacteria
Description: partial 16S ribosomal RNA
Rfam family: Bacterial small subunit ribosomal RNA
Source: RNAcentral